ACGCACGCUGGCGGCGUGCCUCAUCCCUGCCAGUCGCACGCUUCUUUCCUCCCGAGUGCUUGCACUCAAUUGGAAAGAGGAGUGGCGGACGGGUGAGUAACACGUGGGUAACCUACCCAUCAGAGGGGGAUAACACUUGGAAACAGGUGCUAAUACCGCAUAACAGUUUAUGCCGCAUGGCAUAAGAGUGAAAGGCGCUUUCGGGUGUCGCUGAUGGAUGGACCCGCGGUGCAUUAGCUAGUUGGUGAGGUAACGGCUCACCAAGGCCACGAUGCAUAGCCGACCUGAGAGGGUGAUCGGCCACACUGGGACUGAGACACGGCCCAGACUCCUACGGGAGGCAGCAGUAGGGAAUCUUCGGCAAUGGACGAAAGUCUGACCGAGCAACGCCGCGUGAGUGAAGAAGGUUUUCGGAUCGUAAAACUCUGUUGUUAGAGAAGAACAAGGACGUUAGUAACUGAACGUCCCCUGACGGUAUCUAACCAGAAAGCCACGGCUAACUACGUG
Molecule: ribosomal RNA, 507 nt
Filed under: uncultured bacterium
Lineage: Bacteria
Description: partial 16S ribosomal RNA
Rfam family: Bacterial small subunit ribosomal RNA
Source: RNAcentral